This 209-nucleotide ribosomal RNA is filed under the name Escherichia coli. RNAcentral's name for it is "partial 16S ribosomal RNA". It matches the Rfam family "Bacterial small subunit ribosomal RNA", at positions 1 to 216 of the family's 1533-position model. The record is from RNAcentral. Lineage: Bacteria; Pseudomonadati; Pseudomonadota; Gammaproteobacteria; Enterobacterales; Enterobacteriaceae.
AAAUUGAAGAGUUUGAUCAUGGCUCAGAUUGAACGCUGGCGGCAGGCCUAACACAUGCAAGUCGAACGGUAACAGGAAGCAGCUUGCUGCUUUGCUGACGAGUGGCGGACGGGUGAGUAAUAUCUGGGAAACUGCCCGAUGGAGGGGGAUAACUACUGGAAACGGUAGCUAAUACCGCAUAACGUCGCAAGACCAAAGAGGGGGACCUU